GAUGAAGAACGUAGCGAAAUGCGAUAAGUAAUGUGAAUUGCAGAAUUCAGGGAAUCAUCGAAUCUUUGAACGCACAUUGCGCCCGCCAGUAUUCUGGCGGGCAUGCCUGUUCGAGCGUCAUUUCAACCAUCAAGCCCUGCUUGCGUUGGGGUCCUGCGGCUGCCCGCAGGCCCUGAAAACCAGUGGCGGGCUCGCUAGUCACACCGAGCGCAGUAAUACAUCUCGCUUUGGGCGUGCGGCGGGUUCUUGCCGUUAAACACCCCCUUUUUACCAAGGUUGACCUCGGAUCAGGUAGGAAUACCCGCUGAACUUAAGCAUAUCAAUAAGCGGAGGA
Molecule: unclassified non-coding RNA, 334 nt
Filed under: soil metagenome
Description: partial contains 5.8S ribosomal RNA, internal transcribed spacer 2, and large subunit ribosomal RNA
Rfam family: 5.8S ribosomal RNA (bases 1-120)
Source: RNAcentral